Molecule: ribosomal RNA, 435 nt
Filed under: uncultured bacterium
Lineage: Bacteria
Description: bacterial SSU rRNA
Rfam family: Bacterial small subunit ribosomal RNA
Source: RNAcentral
UGAGGAAUAUUGGUCAAUGGGCGGGAGCCUGAACCAGCCAAGCCGCGUGAGGGAGGAAGGCCCUAUGGGUCGUAAACCUCUUUUGUCAGGGAACAAAAAGCGAGUAUGUAUACUAGUCUGAGUGUACCUGAAGAAAAAGCAUCGGCUAACUCCGUGCCAGCAGCCGCGGUAAUACGGAGGAUGCGAGCGUUAUCCGGAAUUUAUUGGGUUUAAAGGGUGCGUAGGCGGCGGUGCAAGUCAGCGGUAAAAGCCCGGGGCUCAACCCCGGCGAGCCGUUGAAACUGCAGUGCUAGAGAAGGCGAGAGGUACGCGGAAUGCGCAGUGUAGCGGUGAAAUGCUUAGAUAUUGCGCAGAACUCCGAUUGCGAAGGCAGCGUACUGGCGCCUGACUGACGCUGAGGCACGAAAGCGUGGGGAUCGAACAGGAUUAGAUACC